UUCCUUUUCUCGGCUUCCCCGAUCGGCUACACUGGGCCGGUCGGGUGACCGACUAUGGUGCUAAAUCCCGCGUGGAAUAAGCGUUGCGGACCCGGGGGCAGUGCCCGGCGCCUCCACCAUUCCUCCCGUCCUUCCGGACGGGUUCAUGGGGGCGAAACAGGAUCGACGUGCGUGGUAAAGACACGGAGUGUGCUCGGCAUGGUUCCGCCGUUAUCGGGCCUUUCUACAGGUGCCAACGAUAAUGAAUUGGCCCUCGCUGCCUAACUAGGUAAGCGCGGCUCGGGGGGCGCCGGGCAACAGAAGCCCCCCACC
Molecule: transfer-messenger RNA, 312 nt
Filed under: Alphaproteobacteria bacterium
Lineage: Bacteria; Pseudomonadati; Pseudomonadota; Alphaproteobacteria
Rfam family: Alphaproteobacteria transfer-messenger RNA
About the family: Bacterial tmRNA, also known as 10Sa RNA or SsrA, is named for its dual tRNA and mRNA-like properties. Its role is to liberate the mRNA from a stalled ribosome.
Source: RNAcentral